Molecule: non-coding RNA, 75 nt
Organism: Erwinia tasmaniensis
Lineage: Bacteria; Pseudomonadati; Pseudomonadota; Gammaproteobacteria; Enterobacterales; Erwiniaceae
Source: Rfam
CAGCAUGAGCCGACAGGACGUCGGCGAAAGGGCGUGCUGAGACAGGAUGUCGAUUCACGUCCGGUGCGGCCGGAA